RNAcentral lists this ribosomal RNA (1483 nucleotides) under Thalassovita mediterranea. Its description in RNAcentral is "bacterial LSU rRNA". It matches the Rfam family "Bacterial large subunit ribosomal RNA", at positions 13 to 1456 of the family's 2925-position model. Lineage: Bacteria; Pseudomonadati; Pseudomonadota; Alphaproteobacteria; Rhodobacterales; Roseobacteraceae. The record is from RNAcentral.
GAAGGGCGUUUGGUGAAUGCCUUGGCAGUAAGAGGCGAUGAAGGACGUGAUACUCUGCGAUAAGCUUGGGGGAGCCGAGAAUAGGCUUUGAUCCCAGGAUCUCCGAAUGGGGCAACCCACUUGAUACUCUGUUAUUGUUAGCAUCACGCUGAUCAAUAACCGGGUAAACCAAGUACUUAAUACCUGAAUACAUAGGGUUUUAAGAGCGAACCCGGGGAACUGAAACAUCUAAGUACCCGGAGGAAAGGAAAUCAACAGAUACUCCCCUAGUAGCGGCGAGCGAACGGGGACCAGCCGAGCCUUGAGAGUGACCAGAACAAUCUGGAAAGAUUGACCAUAGUGGGUGACAGUCCCGUAUGGGAAGCUCGAUAGGACGUAUUAAGUAGGGCGGGACACGUGAAAUCCUGUCUGAACAUCGGAGGACCACCUUCGAAGGCUAAGUACUCCUUACUGACCGAUAGUGAACCAGUACCGUGAGGGAAAGGUGAAAAGCACCCCGACGAGGGGAGUGAAACAGUACCUGAAACCGAACGCCUACAAUCAGUCGGAGGCUCCUUGCGAGCUGACGGCGUACCUUUUGUAUAAUGGGUCAUCGACUUGGUCUCACGAGCAAGCUUAAGCCGUUAGGUGUAGGCGCAGCGAAAGCGAGUCUUAAUAGGGCGAAUGAGUUCGUGGGAUCAGACCCGAAACCGAGUGAUCUAGGCAUGACCAGGCUGAAGGUAAGGUAACACUUACUGGAGGGCCGAACCCACACCUGUUGAAAAAGGUCGGGAUGAGUUGUGCCUAGGGGUGAAAGGCCAAUCAAACUCGGAGAUAGCUGGUUCUCUGCGAAAUCUAUUUAGGUAGAGCGUCAUCCGAAUACCCCGGGGGGUAGAGCACUGGAUGGGUAAUGGGGCCCCACAGGCUUACUGAUCCUAACCAAACUCCGAAUACCCGGGAGUACUAGAUGGCAGACACACUGCGGAUGCUAACGUCCGUAGUGGAGAGGGAAACAACCCUGACCUCCAGCUAAGGCCCCUAAUUCAUGGCUAAGUGGGAAAGCAGGUGGGACGACCAAAACAACCAGGAGGUUGGCUUAGAAGCAGCCAUCCUUUAAAGAUAGCGUAACAGCUCACUGGUCUAAAUAAGUUGUCCUGCGGCGAAGAUGUAACGGGGCUCAAGCCAUGAGCCGAAGCUGAGGAUGCACAUAGUGCAUGGUAGCAGAGCGUAGUGUGACAUAGUUCCAUGCGUCUUUAACCUUCGUCAUCGAAGGUCUUAGACGCAAGGAGCUUUCUGUGAAGCCGGGGCGUGAGCCAUCCGGUGGAGAGAUCACUAGCGAGAAUGAUGACAUGAGUAGCGACAAACAGGGUGAGAGACCCUGUCGCCGAAAGUCCAAGGGUUCCUGCUUAAAGCUAAUCUGAGCAGGGUAAGCCGGCCCCUAAGGCGAGGCCGAAAGGCGUAGUCGAUGGGAACUAGGUUAAUAUUCCUAGGCCGUGAGGUGGUG